UAAGCAGUUAUAGCUCAGCAUUAAGCUGCCUGAGCAUAGACGAUAUCAGUAUUUUACUUUUUCAUGCUGAUUUGAGAUUGAAACACUCAGAAUUAGACAAUGUUCCAGGGUGGAAACCUGAGGGAUAUUUCUGUUCAAUUUUAUUUUGAAAGAAUUUAAAAAUAUCAUUUUAGGCAUUGGAAGAGAUGGCUCACACUCCCUAAUUUAUGUCCUUAGUUCUCACAGAUUAUAAUUAAAAUGGUCAAAAUCCUUAUGCUUUUAUUCCCUGAAAAUAAGCUUCUAGGUAAAUACACCUCUGGACUCACACAGUUGAUAUGCAGGCAUCAAUUCAUGCUUUAUUACAGUACAUGAUGGACUUAACGAUUUUCAUAUUGAAAGACUGACAAUUCUGCAAUUAUGUUUUCUUAUCACCCUAACCUUCUAGAAAGCAACGACUAAAGUAAAACAUAUUUUCAUUAGCAUCUCUUGUAUUUUGAUGAAGUCAGAACAAGGUUGUGCCCCUUAUAACUAAAUAAUUUUGUCCCCUUACAACUGAAUAAGAGACUUCUGGCUCAAUUCAACCACUAUACUGUUUUCUAAUUAUUUUUCUACCCCCCCCCCCCCUUCCAGUCCAAAUUUCCCAUUAUCUUUAGUGCUGAAAUCAGGCUUCUCUUCUCAAUCUCAGACAAUCCUUAUGUACCCUCAGCUGGGAAAAGAGGGGGUCAGAUGGCUGAGAUGAGUCUGGAGACUCAGAAGUGCUUCUAGCAAGCCUGGGCUUGGGUACUAUUAAAUUGCUAUUGCUCUACACCAGCACAGUAAUGGAUAGGGAAAAUAUAAAAAUCCCAGGUAAUUUCCAGGAAGAAUUUGCCACAUUUGCUUUGUGACAUUACAAUCUCAAAACCCACUCAUAUAAACUGCAUCUAAGACCAAUAUUAUUAUCCAGCUUCAAGUAUCUUGUAUCUCUAGAGAUGAGAUGCUGUAGUUUGUUGUUUUGUGUUAACACAAAACAAUAUCAUGCAUAUUUAUGUGCACAGAUUCCUAUAUACUAAAAGUUCUUGCUUGAUCAAAGGAUAAAAUAUGGAUACUGCUGCUUGUUUGAUCGAAGGUUAAAAUAUGGAUACUACUUUUUGUCUAACUUUUUCACCAAUUCCUUUGUAGCUGUAUUUCAUCAGACUGAAUCUUCCUGCCUAGGAACAUCACAGAAUAACAUUCUGAAAAAGAGACGACACUGAAGUAUUAUCUGCUUAACAUAAUGUUCACAAUAUUUCCCUGCUGACAUCUCCUAAUAAAUAUUUAAUGAACAAUGGUCCGACUGGUGACAAGACAUUAAUAACUCCAGAGGCAGUUUCUGUGUAAAUAAACCCUGUCAUGGGCCACAAUACAAGAGAACAGCUCUGGUAAUUGUUUUCCACCAGCUGUAACACAGGGUGAAGAAAUAGCCCAGCUCAGAUUGUUCUGACUGAGAAAUACGGUGGAACGAGCAAGUACCAAAUCAGUUUGCAAUGCACAUCCUGCCACGGAAAAUCACCAGUGCUCCUUUGCUAAGUCAGCAUACAUACUAAGUUUUAACAACAGCAUUGCUACCUGUCAGAAGUCAGAUAUUAGACGAUUAGACUAUUUUUGCUAUUCAUGGUGUCUGGAAAAUUUCACAGGGUUGCUCUCUUUGUGUUUUCUUUGCAAAGAACACAAAGGGUAUUUUUCCUUCUUUUUACCUGUUUACCCAUCUGCAUAUAGAAGCAUUACAAUACUGUGUUUAGAUAUAAUUACAAUAAAAUAUAUCAAAAAUGCCAAUCAA
Pezoporus flaviventris is the source of this 1774-nucleotide long non-coding RNA. RefSeq lists it as uncharacterized. Lineage: Eukaryota; Metazoa; Chordata; Aves; Psittaciformes; Psittacidae. The transcript is spliced from 3 exons. The record is from RefSeq and is a predicted model, not a curated record.